Molecule: transfer RNA, 73 nt
Filed under: Trichonephila inaurata madagascariensis
Lineage: Eukaryota; Metazoa; Arthropoda; Arachnida; Araneae; Nephilidae
Rfam family: tRNA
About the family: Transfer RNA (tRNA) molecules are approximately 80 nucleotides in length.
Source: Rfam by way of RNAcentral
AUCCCUGUUGGGCAAUGGAUAACGCGUUGGACUUUUAAUCCAAAAGUCGUGGAUUCGAAUCCUACCUGGGAUG